AACGAACGCUGGCGGCGUGCUUAACACAUGCAAGUCGAACGCGAAAGGGACUUCGGUCCUGAGUAAAGUAGCGCACGGGUGAGUAACGCGUAGAUAACCUGUCUUCAUGUCUGGAAUAAUACGCCGAAAGGGGUACUAAUACCGGAUAUUCUUGCUUUUCAUAAGUUAUGCAAGCAAAGGUGGCCUCUGCAUAUGCUACUGCAUGAAGAGGGGUCUGCGUACCAUUAGCUAGUAGGUGGGGUAAUGGCCUACCUAGGCGACGAUGGUUAGCGGGUCUGAGAGGAUGAUCCGCCACACUGGCACUGGAACACGGGCCAGACUCCUACGGGAGGCAGCAGUGAGGAAUAUUGCGCAAUGGGGGAAACCCUGACGCAGCGACGCCGCGUGAGUGAAGGAAGGCCUUCGGGUCGUAAAGCUCUGUCAAGAGGAAAGAAGUGUACAAUGGCUAAUACCUGUUGUAUUUGACGGUACCUCUAAAGGAAGCACCGGCUAACUCCGUGCCAGCAGCCGC
This 511-nucleotide ribosomal RNA is filed under the name uncultured bacterium. RNAcentral's name for it is "bacterial SSU rRNA". It matches the Rfam family "Bacterial small subunit ribosomal RNA", at positions 29 to 518 of the family's 1533-position model. The record is from RNAcentral.